This 1434-nucleotide ribosomal RNA is filed under the name Staphylococcus nepalensis. RNAcentral's name for it is "bacterial SSU rRNA". It matches the Rfam family "Bacterial small subunit ribosomal RNA". The record is from RNAcentral. Lineage: Bacteria; Bacillati; Bacillota; Bacilli; Caryophanales; Staphylococcaceae.
GCAUAUAAUGCAGUCGAGCGAACAGAUAAGGAGCUUGCUCCUUUGACGUUAGCGGCGGACGGGUGAGUAACACGUGGGUAACCUACCUAUAAGACUGGAAUAACUCCGGGAAACCGGGGCUAAUGCCGGAUAAUAUUUAGAACCGCAUGGUUCUAAAGUGAAAGAUGGUUUUGCUAUCACUUAUAGAUGGACCCGCGCCGUAUUAGCUAGUUGGUGGGGUAAUGGCUUACCAAGGCAACGAUACGUAGCCGACCUGAGAGGGUGAUCGGCCACACUGGAACUGAGACACGGUCCAGACUCCUACGGGAGGCAGCAGUAGGGAAUCUUCCGCAAUGGGCGAAAGCCUGACGGAGCAACGCCGCGUGAGUGAUGAAGGUCUUCGGAUCGUAAAACUCUGUUAUUAGGGAAGAACAAAUGUGUAAGUAACUGUGCACGUCUUGACGGUACCUAAUCAGAAAGCCACGGCUAACUACGUGCCAGCAGCCGCGGUAAUACGUAGGUGGCAAGCGUUAUCCGGAAUUAUUGGGCGUAAAGCGCGCGUAGGCGGUUUCUUAAGUCUGAUGUGAAAGCCCACGGCUCAACCGUGGAGGGUCAUUGGAAACUGGGAAACUUGAGUGCAGAAGAGGAAAGUGGAAUUCCAUGUGUAGCGGUGAAAUGCGCAGAGAUAUGGAGGAACACCAGUGGCGAAGGCGACUUUCUGGUCUGUAACUGACGCUGAUGUGCGAAAGCGUGGGGAUCAAACAGGAUUAGAUACCCUGGUAGUCCACGCCGUAAACGAUGAGUGCUAAGUGUUAGGGGGGUUUCCGCCCCUUAGUGCUGCAGCUAACGCAUUAAGCACUCCGCCUGGGGAGUACGACCGCAAGGUUGAAACUCAAAGGGAAUUGACGGGGACCCGCACAAGCGGUGGAGCAUGUGGUUUAAUUCGAAGCAACGCGAAGAACCUUACCAAAUCUUGACAUCCUUUGACAACUCUAGAGAUAGAGUCUUCCCCUUCGGGGGACAAAGUGACAGGUGGUGCAUGGUUGUCGUCAGCUCGUGUCGUGGAGAUGUUGGGUUAAGUCCCGCAACGAGCGCAACCCUUAAGCUUAGUUGCCAGCAUUAAGUUGGGCACUCUAAGUUGACUGCCGGUGACAAACCGGAGGAAGGUGGGGAUGACGUCAAAUCAUCAUGCCCCUUAUGAUUUGGGCUACACACGUGCUACAAUGGACAAUACAAAGGGCAGCUAAACCGCGAGGUCAUGCAAAUCCCAUAAAGUUGUUCUCAGUUCGGAUUGUAGUCUGCAACUCGACUACAUGAAGCUGGAAUCGCUAGUAAUCGUAGAUCAGCAUGCUACGGUGAAUACGUUCCCGGGUCUUGUACACACCGCCCGUCACACCACGAGAGUCUGUAACACCCGAAGCCGGUGGAGUAACCAUUUAUGGAGCUAGCCGUCGA